RNAcentral lists this ribosomal RNA (506 nucleotides) under Enterococcus faecalis. Its description in RNAcentral is "bacterial SSU rRNA". It matches the Rfam family "Bacterial small subunit ribosomal RNA", at positions 906 to 1413 of the family's 1533-position model. The record is from RNAcentral. Lineage: Bacteria; Bacillati; Bacillota; Bacilli; Lactobacillales; Enterococcaceae.
GGAAUUGACGGGGGCCCGCACAAGCGGUGGAGCAUGUGGUUUAAUUCGAAGCAACGCGAAGAACCUUACCAGGUCUUGACAUCCUUUGACCACUCUAGAGAUAGAGCUUUCCCUUCGGGGACAAAGUGACAGGUGGUGCAUGGUUGUCGUCAGCUCGUGUCGUGAGAUGUUGGGUUAAGUCCCGCAACGAGCGCAACCCUUAUUGUUAGUUGCCAUCAUUUAGUUGGGCACUCUAGCGAGACUGCCGGUGACAAACCGGAGGAAGGUGGGGAUGACGUCAAAUCAUCAUGCCCCUUAUGACCUGGGCUACACACGUGCUACAAUGGGAAGUACAACGAGUCGCUAGACCGCGAGGUCAUGCAAAUCUCUUAAAGCUUCUCUCAGUUCGGAUUGCAGGCUGCAACUCGCCUGCAUGAAGCCGGAAUCGCUAGUAAUCGCGGAUCAGCACGCCGCGGUGAAUACGUUCCCGGGCCUUGUACACACCGCCCGUCACACCACGAGAGUUU